AUGCAGAACGAGGUGGGUGACAUGGUGGACCUCUAUGUCCCCAGGAAGUGCUCGGCCACCAACAGGAUCAUCACGGCCAAGGACCACGCCUCUGUCCAGAUCAUCAUUGGUCACGUUGAUGAGAAUGGCCUCUAUGAUGGCCGCUUCACCAUCUUGGAUGGGACUCCAUCAAUUUAUGUACUCUGGACAACAGUAGUAUAG
This 201-nucleotide ribosomal RNA is filed under the name Triticum aestivum (bread wheat). RNAcentral describes it as "partial small subunit ribosomal RNA". The record is from RNAcentral. Lineage: Eukaryota; Viridiplantae; Streptophyta; Magnoliopsida; Poales; Poaceae.